CCUCAUGGUGGAGGGUGGAAAGUUUUUCGGUCAGGGAUGGGCUCGCGGCCUAUCAGCUUGUUGGUGGGGUAACGGCCUACCAAGGCGAUUACGGGUAGCCGGCCUGAGAGGGCGACCGGCCACACUGGGACUGAGACACGGCCCAGACUCCUGCGGGAGGCAGCAGUGGGGAAUAUUGCGCAAUGGGCGAAAGCCUGACGCAGCGACGCCGCGUGGGGGAUGACGGCCUUCGGGUUGUAAACCUCUUUUACCACCAACGCAGGCUCGAAGUUCUCUUCGGGUUGACGGUAGGUGGGGAAUAAGGACCGGCUAACUACGUGCCAGCAGCCGCGGUAAUACGUAGGGUCCGAGCGUUGUCCGGAAUUAUUGGGCGUAAAGAGCUCGUAGGCGGCGUGUCACGUCUGCUGUGAAAGACCGGGGCUUAACUCCGGUUCUGCAGUGGAUACGGGCAUGCUAGAGGUAGGUAGGGGAGACUGGAAUUCCUGGUGUAGCGGUGAAAUGCGCAGAUAUCAGGAGGAACACCGGUGGCGAAGGCGGGUCUCUGGGCCUUACCUGACGCUGAGGAGCGAAAGCAUGGGGAGCGAACAGGAUUAGAUACCCUGGUAGUCCAUGCCGUAAACGUUGGGCGCUAGGUGUGGGGACUUUCCACGGUUUCCGCGCCGUAGCUAACGCAUUAAGCGCCCCGCCUGGGGAGUACGGCCGCAAGGCUAAAACUCAAAGGAAUUGACGGGGGCCCGCACAAGCGGCGGAGCAUGUUGCUUAAUUCGACGCAACGCGAAGAACCUUACCAAGGU
Molecule: ribosomal RNA, 794 nt
Filed under: Nocardiopsis sp.
Lineage: Bacteria; Bacillati; Actinomycetota; Actinomycetes; Streptosporangiales; Nocardiopsidaceae
Description: bacterial SSU rRNA
Rfam family: Bacterial small subunit ribosomal RNA
Source: RNAcentral